RNAcentral lists this non-coding RNA (897 nucleotides) under Verilus pacificus. Its description in RNAcentral is "partial 12S rRNA". It matches the Rfam family "Bacterial small subunit ribosomal RNA", at positions 310 to 1533 of the family's 1533-position model. Lineage: Eukaryota; Metazoa; Chordata; Actinopteri; Acropomatiformes; Acropomatidae. The record is from RNAcentral.
GCCCCUGUGCGAAUGCCCUACAGUCCCCCGCCCGGGGACAAGGAGCCGGUAUCAGGCACACCCCUCGCUAGCCCAUGACACCUUGCUUAUGCCACACCCCCAAGGGAAUAUCUCUGCAGUAAAAAACAUUAAGCCCUAAGUGAAAACUUGACUUAGUUAAAGCUAAGAGGGCCGGUAAAACUCGUGCCAGCCGCCGCGGUUAUACGAGAGGCCCAAGUUGAUAGCCAACGGCGUAAAGAGUGGUUAGGACAUAUAAUUAUACUAAAGCCGAAUGCCCUCAGAGCUGUUAUACGCCUCCGAAGGUAAGAAGAUCAAUCACGAAGGUGGCUUUAUAAUAACUGACCCCACGAAAGCUAUGACACAAACUGGGAUUAGAUACCCCACUAUGCUUAGCCCUAAACAUUGAUAGCACCCUACGCCUGCUAUCCGCCCGGGAACUACGAGCAUUAGCUUGAAACCCAAAGGACUUGGCGGUGCUUUAGAACCACCUAGAGGAGCCUGUUCUGGAACCGAUACCCCCCGUUCAACCUCACCCUUCCUUGCUUUUUCCCGCCUAUAUACCGCCGUCGUCAGCUUACCCUGUGAAGGCCUAAUAGUAAGCAAAAUUGGCACAGCCCAAAACGCCAGGUCGAGGUGUAGCGUAUGGAAGGGGAAGAAAUAGGCUACAUUCCCUGAAUAAAGGGUAUACGGACGAUGAUACUGAAACGUUCAUCCGAAGGAGGAUUUAGCAGUAAGCAGGAAAUAGAGCGUCCUACUGAAGCCGGCCCUGAAGCGCGCACACACCGCCCGUCACUCUCCCCAAACACUAACAACUUACAAUAACCUAAUACCCUAUGACUGUAAAGGGGAGAAAAGUCGUAACAUGGUAAGUGUACCGGAAGGUGCACUUGGAUAAAU